RNAcentral lists this ribosomal RNA (726 nucleotides) under uncultured marine bacterium. RNAcentral describes it as "bacterial SSU rRNA". It matches the Rfam family "Bacterial small subunit ribosomal RNA", at positions 56 to 828 of the family's 1533-position model. The record is from RNAcentral.
UGCAGUCGAACGAAGUAGCAAUACUUAGUGGCAGACGGGUGAGUAACAUGUGGGUAUCUUCCCUUUGGUGAGGAAUAACACGAGGAAACUUGUGCUAAUACCUCAUAAGUCUUUACGGAGAAAGCUUUAUGCGCCAUUGGAUGAGCCCGCACUUGAUUAGUUUGUUGGUGGGGUAAUGGCCUACCAAGACUGUGAUCAAUAGCUGAUUUGAGAGGAUGAUCAGCCACAUUGGGACUGAGACACGGCCCAAACUCCUACGGGAGGCAGCAGUAGGGAAUCUUGCACAAUGGAGGAAACUCUGAUGCAGCGAUGCCGCGUGAGUGAAGAAGGCCUUUGGGUUGUAAAGCUCUUUCGUCGGGGAAGAAAAUGACUGUACCCGAAUAAGAAGGUCCGGCUAACUUCGUGCCAGCAGCCGCGGUAAUACGAAGGGACCUAGCGUAGUUCGGAAUUACUGGGCUUAAAGAGUUCGUAGGUGGUUAAAAAAGUUGGUGGUGAAAUCCCAGAGCUUAACUCUGGAACUGCCAUCAAAACUUUUUAGCUAGAGUAUGAUAGAGGAAAGCAGAAUUUCUAGUGUAGAGGUGAAAUUCGUAGAUAUUAGAAAGAAUACCAAUUGCGAAGGCAGCUUUCUGGAUCAUUACUGACACUGAGGAACGAAAGCAUGGGUAGCGAAGAGGAUUAGAUACCCUCGUAGUCCAUGCCGUAAACGAUGUGUGUUAGACGUUGGAA